This 598-nucleotide long non-coding RNA is filed under the name Equus caballus (horse). Its description in RNAcentral is "lncRNA (ENSECAG00000052933.1)". The record is from RNAcentral. Lineage: Eukaryota; Metazoa; Chordata; Mammalia; Perissodactyla; Equidae.
GCGCUUCCCUGGUUUAUGUUCGGCAUUCAGCAGACUGGCUGGGCAGAGAUAGCGGCAAUCGGAGGAAAGAAAGACAGAGGAGACACCUAGGGACACAAAGAAUCCCGAAAAUUCAACGUUGCGUCUUUAGAGGCUUUGACAUCAAGGUCUUGCUGGGCUCAUGAAAUGAUCUAGGAAGUGUUUCCUCUGCCGUUAUUUUCUGAAAGAAUUUGAGGAAUACUGUUACAGAAGCACAAGCCUUGUACCAAGAAGACACUUGGCCACAUGACUUUGGACAAUUAAACUCGCAGCUUCUGUUUUCUCAUCCAUCCAGCAGAGUGGCCGCCAUCCACCUAGCCCGUUGUGGUGAAGUGUGGACAAAGUGAGAUCUGAAAUGCUGCCAGUAGGGCCGCUCGUGGGCCCUUGGCACGAGAGGUGUUUUGUUAAUAAGUAUGCUUGUUAUUACAUCACCAAGGGGACUAGAAACCUAGCACAAGAUGAUUCUCAAAGCUUCUUUCUGCUGUAAAAUUCCAACACUCUUUGCCCUUGAAGAGCUUAUGUUGAACAGCUGUGUUACCUUCGCAGAACUUUUAAAUGUUGAUUUUAGCUAUCUCAUGUG